Molecule: long non-coding RNA, 394 nt
Organism: Pleuronectes platessa (European plaice)
Lineage: Eukaryota; Metazoa; Chordata; Actinopteri; Pleuronectiformes; Pleuronectidae
Exons: 2
Source: RefSeq, a predicted model, not a curated record
UGAGUACAGACAACUUUGGAACAACCACACCAUCCGACCUGUUCGUCAAUCUCGUUGUCCAUCGGGUAAACCAGAAGCCAUGUACCACCUGCCUGACAGGUUUGACGGAAGGGAAUGUGGAUUCCCAGUGUCCCAGGAAGCCCUACACCAGUUUGAUGACUUACUGCCAGCUCCGCGCAGUCUGUGUGGUGAUGUUGAUCUCCAAAGUCAUUUUGCAGACUUGGAGAGACAGAGUGGGCUUGCUCUACCAGUCAACUGGACAACUGCUGUUGUGAAUUACAUAUCACUCAAGAAUAUGUCUGGACUUUAGAAUCUUCAGCUCCUGGUUCUGCAACAUAAUUUGACUGGUAGACAUACGUGUUAUGUAAAUAAAUUAUUGUAAAAAUAACUAACA